GACGAACGCUGGCGGCGUGCUUAACACAUGCAAGUCGAACGGAAAGGCCCUGCUUGCAGGGUACUCGAGUGGCGAACGGGUGAGUAACACGUGGGUGAUCUGCCCCGCACUUCGGGAUAAGCCUGGGAAACUGGGUCUAAUACCGGAUAGGAGCCAUCUUUAGUGGGAUGGUUGGAAAGUUUUUUUCGGUGUAGGAUGAGCUCGCGGCCUAUCAGCUUGUUGGUGGGGGAAUGGCCUACCAAGGCGGCGACGGGGAGCCGGCCUGAGGGGGGGGAAGGCCAUAGUGGGACUGAGAUACGGCCCAGACUCCUACGGGGGGCCGGAGGGGGGAAUAUUGCACAAUGGGCGCGAGCCUGAUGCAGCGACGCCGCGGGGGGGAUGGCGGCCUUCGGGUUGUAAACUCUUUUCGCUAGGGACGAAGCUUUUUGUGACGGUACCUGGAUAAGAAGCACCGGCUAACUACGUG
RNAcentral lists this ribosomal RNA (466 nucleotides) under uncultured bacterium. RNAcentral's name for it is "partial 16S ribosomal RNA". It matches the Rfam family "Bacterial small subunit ribosomal RNA", at positions 28 to 507 of the family's 1533-position model. The record is from RNAcentral.